GGCCGGGGGAUCGAGAGAAAAGGACGGAGGGGUGGGGGUGGGGUGGAAGGGGGGGUAGGGCGGGGAGUGGUGAGGGGGGGGGGGGCGGGGAGCCAGGGGGGGUUUUUAUUUUUUUUUUUAGGCCAGGUUAAGUUUGGUGGUGUGUUUUUCUUUUUUUCCCCCGGCCCACUCACCCCCCCGGGCCUAGCUUACCAAUCCACUUCCUAUUUUUUUUCCCAAAAAUGUUGGUCGGGAGGGGGGAAUUGGAAACCCCCCGCCAACCCGCCGGGAGGGGGAACCUAUGGAACAAUGUUUAACCCCGUAAUUUGGGGGACCCGUUGUUCAAAAUGGAGAGUGCUUUCUCUACCUGUGGGAUGCCCCCGCCUUUUUUUGUUUGUGGUGAAAAAACCCCCACCAAGGUGUUUUUCGUACCCCCCUGGAGGGUUAUCGCCCUCAUUGGGAAUGAGCCCCGGCCCAGCUUCCUAGGGGAGGCAGCAGUAGGGAUUCUUCCCCAAGGGAAGAAAGUCUGAGGAACAACGCCGCGUGAGUGAUGAAGGUUUUCGGAUCGUAAAACUCUGUUGUUAAAGAAGAACAAGUGUUAGAGUACUGUUAACACUUUGACGGUAUUAACCAGAAAGCCACGGCUAACUACGUGCCAGCAGCCGCGGUAAUACGUAGGUGGCAAGCGUUGUCCGGAUUUAUUGGGCGUAAAGCGAGCGCAGGCGGUUUUGUAAGUCUGCUGUGAAAGCCCUCAGCUCAACUGAGGAAGUGCAGUGGAAACUACAAAACUUGAGUACAGAAGAGGAAAGUGGAACUCCAUGUGUAGCGGUGAAAUGCGUAGAUAUAUGGAAGAACACCAGUGGCGAAGGCGGCUUUCUGGUCUGUUACUGACGCUGAGGCUCGAAAGCAUGGGUAGCGAACAGGAUUAGAUACCCUGGUAGUCCAUGCCGUAAACGAUGAAUACUAGGUGUUGGAGGGUUUCCGCCCUUCAGUGCCGCAGCUAACGCAUUAAGUAUUCCGCCUGGGGAGUACGACCGCAAGGUUGAAACUCAAAGGAAUUGACGGGGGCCCGCACAAGUGGUGGAGCAUGUGGUUUAAUUCGAUGCUACGCGAAGAACCUUACCAGCUCUUGACAUCUUCUGCCAACCCAAGAGAUUGGGCGUUCCCUUCGGGGACAGAAUGACAGGUGGUGCAUGGUUGUCGUCAGCUCGUGUCGUGAGAUGUUGGGUUAAGUCCCGCAACGAGCGCAACCCUUAUUAUUAGUUGCCAGCAUUUAGUUGGGCACUCUAGUGAGACUGCCGGUGAUAAACCGGAGGAAGGUGGGGACGACGUCAAAUCAUCAUGCCCCUUAUGAGCUGGGCUACACACGUGCUACAAUGGAUGGUACAACGAGUCGCGAAACCGCGAGGUCAAGCUAAUCUCUUAAAGCCAUUCUCAGUUCGGAUUGCAGGCUGCAACUCGCCUGCAUGAAGUUGGAAUCACUAGUAAUCGUGGAUCAGCAUGCCACGGUGAAUACGUUCCCGGGCCUUGUACACACCGCCCGUCACACCAUGAGAGUUUGUAACACCCAAAGACGAUGGGGUAACCUUUUAGGAGCUAGUCGUCUAAGGUGGACAGAUGAUUAGGGGAAGUCGAACCAAGGUGCCAUGG
This 1629-nucleotide ribosomal RNA is filed under the name Apilactobacillus kunkeei. RNAcentral's name for it is "bacterial SSU rRNA". It matches the Rfam family "Bacterial small subunit ribosomal RNA". Lineage: Bacteria; Bacillati; Bacillota; Bacilli; Lactobacillales; Lactobacillaceae. The record is from RNAcentral.